Molecule: transfer RNA, 57 nt
Filed under: Cordylochernes scorpioides
Lineage: Eukaryota; Metazoa; Arthropoda; Arachnida; Pseudoscorpiones; Chernetidae
Description: tRNA-Thr
Rfam family: tRNA
About the family: Transfer RNA (tRNA) molecules are approximately 80 nucleotides in length. Their secondary structure includes four short double-helical elements and three loops (D, anti-codon, and T loops).
Source: RNAcentral
AGCCAAGUGGACAUGGCAUCUGCCCCGUAAGCAGAACACUGUGGGUUCGAUUCCCAU